Molecule: ribosomal RNA, 301 nt
Filed under: uncultured bacterium
Lineage: Bacteria
Description: partial 16S ribosomal RNA
Rfam family: Bacterial small subunit ribosomal RNA
Source: RNAcentral
CAGUCGCCGCGGUAAAACGAAGGGGGCUAGCGUUGCUCGGAAUUACUGGGCGUAAGGGAGCGUAGGCGGAUCGUUUAGUCAGGGGUGAAAUCCCGGGGCUCAACCUCGGAACUGCCUUUGAUACUGGCGAUCUUGAGUAUGGGAGAGGUGUGUGGAACUCCGAGUGUAGAGGUGAAAUUCGUAGAUAUUCGGAAGAACACCAGUGGCGAAGGCGACACACUGGCCCAUUACUGACGCUGAGGCCCGAAAGCGUGGGGAGCAAACAGGAUUAGAUACCCCCGUAGUCCCUGUCUCUUAUACA